UGAAAGGCGCUUUCGGGUGUCGCUGAUGGAUGGACCCGCGGUGCAUUAGCUAGUUGGUGAGGUAACGGCUCACCAAGGCCACGAUGCAUAGCCGACCUGAGAGGGUGAUCGGCCACAUUGGGACUGAGACACGGCCCAAACUCCUACGGGAGGCAGCAGUAGGGAAUCUUCGGCAAUGGACGAAAGUCUGACCGAGCAACGCCGCGUGAGUGAAGAAGGUUUUCGGAUCGUAAAACUCUGUUGUUAGAGAAGAACAAGGAUGAGAGUAACUGUUCAUCCCUUGACGGUAUCUAACCAGAAAGCCACGGCUAACUACGUGCCAGCAGCCGCGGUAAUACGUAGGUGGCAAGCGUUGUCCGGAUUUAUUGGGCGUAAAGCGAGCGCAGGCGGUUUCUUAAGUCUGAUGUGAAAGCCCCCGGCUCAACCGGGGAGGGUCAUUGGAAACUGGGAGACUUGAGUGCAGAAGAGGAGAGUGGAAUUCCAUGUGUAGCGGUGAAAUGCGUAGAUAUAUGGAGGAACACCAGUGGCGAAGGCGGCUCUCUGGUCUGUAACUGACGCUGAGGCUCGAAAGCGUGGGGAGCAAACAGGAUUAGAUACCCUGGUAGUCCACGCCGUAAACGAUGAGUGCUAAGUGUUGGAGGGUUUCCGCCCUUCAGUGCUGCAGCUAACGCAUUAAGCACUCCGCCUGGGGAGUACGACCGCAAGGUUGAAACUCAAAGGAAUUGACGGGGGCCCGCACAAGCGGUGGAGCAUGUGGUUUAAUUCGAAGCAACGCGAAGAACCUUACCAGGUCUUGACAUCCUUUGACCACUCUAGAGAUAGAGCUUCCCCUUCGGGGGCAAAGUGACAGGUGGUGCAUGGUUGUCGUCAGCUCGUGUCGUGAGAUGUUGGGUUAAGUCCCGCAACGAGCGCAACCCUUAUUGUUAGUUGCCAUCAUUCAGUUGGGCACUCUAGCAAGACUGCCGGUGACAAACCGGAGGAAGGUGGGGAUGACGUCAAAUCAUCAUGCCCCUUAUGACCUGGGCUACACACGUGCUACAAUGGGAAGUACAACGAGU
RNAcentral lists this ribosomal RNA (1058 nucleotides) under Enterococcus faecium. RNAcentral's name for it is "bacterial SSU rRNA". It matches the Rfam family "Bacterial small subunit ribosomal RNA", at positions 201 to 1247 of the family's 1533-position model. Lineage: Bacteria; Bacillati; Bacillota; Bacilli; Lactobacillales; Enterococcaceae. The record is from RNAcentral.